Molecule: ribosomal RNA, 253 nt
Filed under: uncultured bacterium
Lineage: Bacteria
Description: partial 16S ribosomal RNA
Rfam family: Bacterial small subunit ribosomal RNA
Source: RNAcentral
UACGUAGGGGGCAAGCGUUGUCCGGAAUCAUUGGGCGUAAAGAGCGUGUAGGCGGCCCCUUAAGUCCUGCGUGAAAUCCUGUGGCUCAACCGCAGACGGUCGUGGGAAACUGGAGGGCUAGAGUGCGGGAGAGGAGAGUGGAAUUCCCGGUGUAGCGGUGAAAUGCGCAGAUAUCGGGAAGAACACCCGUGGCGAAGGCGGCUCUCUGGAACGCAACUGACGCUGAGACGCGAAAGCGUGGGGAGCAAGCAGG